AGCGAACGCUGAGGGCAGGCUUAACACAUGCAAGUCGAGCGGGCAUAGCAAUAUGUCAGCGGCAGACGGGUGAGUAACGCGUGGGAACGUACCUUUUGGUUCGGAACAACACAGGGAAACUUGUGCUAAUACCGGAUAAGCCCUUACGGGGAAAGAUUUAUCGCCGAAAGAUCGGCCCGCGUCUGAUUAGCUAGUUGGUGAGGUAAUGGCUCACCAAGGCGACGAUCAGUAGCUGGUCUGAGAGGAUGAUCAGCCACAUUGGGACUGAGACACGGCCCAAACUCCUACGGGAGGCAGCAGUGGGGAAUAUUGGACAAUGGGCGCAAGCCUGAUCCAGCCAUGCCGCGUGAGUGAUGAAGGCCCUAGGGUUGUAAAGCUCUUUUGUGCGGGAAGAUAAUGACGGUACCGCAAGAAUAAGCCCCGGCUAACUUCGUGCCAGCAGCCGCAGUAA
Molecule: ribosomal RNA, 451 nt
Filed under: uncultured bacterium
Lineage: Bacteria
Description: partial 16S ribosomal RNA
Rfam family: Bacterial small subunit ribosomal RNA
Source: RNAcentral